GCCGUCGCCUGCUGCUGUCGUCGGGAGGAAAAAUGAAUGGGAGGGCUGAUUUUCGAGAGCCGAAUGCAGAGGUUCCAAGACCAAUUCCCCACAUAGGGCCUGAUUACAUUCCAACAGAGGAAGAAAGGAGAGUCUUCGCAGAAUGCAAUGAUGAAAGCUUCUGGUUCAGAUCUGUGCCUUUGGCUGCAACAAGUAUGUUGAUUACUCAAGGAUUAAUUAGUAAAGGAAUACUUUCAAGUCAUCCCAAAUAUGGUUCCAUCCCUAAACUUAUAUGUAAGUAUGAACAACAUUGUAGUUUUCAUAGCUUUUUAAAACUUAGGUAAAAUUAUUUUUAUCAAAUGUUUUAUCAUGUCUUACUCAUAUUAGUUAUGUGGUUACAUGCUCUGAUAAAUCAGUCUGUUAAAACAUUUCAUUAAGUGGAUUACUUGGAUAUUUUAUUGUUAGCAUAAAAAAUCAUCAGUUGAAAUAGGCAUUUUUUUGUGUCUUUAUAAUGUAA
RNAcentral lists this small RNA (496 nucleotides) under Pongo abelii (Sumatran orangutan). RNAcentral describes it as "retained intron". Lineage: Eukaryota; Metazoa; Chordata; Mammalia; Primates; Hominidae. The record is from RNAcentral.